UGGGGAAUUUUCCACAAUGGGCGAAAGCCUGAUGGAGCAACGCCGCGUGUGUGAUGAAGGUUUUCGGAUCGUAAAGCACUUUCGACUGGGACGAAAAACCUCUGGCUAACAUCCAGGGGCCUGACGGUACCAGGAGAAGAAGCACCGGCUAACUCUGUGCCAGCAGCCGCGGUAAUACAGAGGGUGCAAGCGUUGUUCGGAAUUAUUGGGCGUAAAGCGCGUGUAGGCGGCCUGGCAAGUCAGAUGUGAAAGCCCUCGGCUUAACCGAGGAAGUGCGUCUGAAACUGCCGGGCUUGAGUGUCGGAGAGGAUGGCGGAAUUCCGCAAGUAGAGGUGAAAUUCGUAGAUAUGCGGAGGAACACCGGUGGCGAAGGCGGCCAUCUGGACGACGACUGACGCUG
RNAcentral lists this ribosomal RNA (400 nucleotides) under uncultured bacterium. RNAcentral's name for it is "bacterial SSU rRNA". It matches the Rfam family "Bacterial small subunit ribosomal RNA", at positions 355 to 748 of the family's 1533-position model. The record is from RNAcentral.